GACAGAGGGUGCAAACGUUGUUCGGAAUUACUGGGCGUAAAGCGCGUGUAGGCGGCCGUGCAAGUCGGAUGUGAAAUACCUCGGCUCAACUGAGGAAGUGCACCCGAAACUGCGUGGCUAGAGUCCCGGAGAGGAAGGUGGAAUGCUUGGUGUAGAGGUGAAAUUCGUAGAUAUCAAGCGGAACACCGGUGGCGAAGGCGGCCUUCUGGACGGUGACUGACGCUGAGACGCGAAAGCGUGGGGAGCAAACAGG
Molecule: ribosomal RNA, 253 nt
Filed under: uncultured bacterium
Lineage: Bacteria
Description: partial 16S ribosomal RNA
Rfam family: Bacterial small subunit ribosomal RNA
Source: RNAcentral